UACAGAGGUCUCAAGCGUUGUUCGGAUUCAUUGGGCGUAAAGAGCGUGCAGGCGGCCAGAUAAGUCCGCUGUGAAAUCUCGAGGCUCAACUUCGAGCUGUCGGUGGAAACUGUCUGGCUAGAGUCCGGAAGAGGAGAAUGGAAUUCCUGGUGUAGCGGUGAAAUGCGCAGAUAUCAGGAAGAACACCCGUGGCGAAGGCGGUUCUCUGGGACGGUACUGACGCUGAGACGCGAAAGCGUGGGGAGCGAACAGG
Molecule: ribosomal RNA, 253 nt
Filed under: uncultured bacterium
Lineage: Bacteria
Description: partial 16S ribosomal RNA
Rfam family: Bacterial small subunit ribosomal RNA
Source: RNAcentral